This is a long non-coding RNA of Aphidius gifuensis, 928 nucleotides long. RefSeq lists it as uncharacterized. The transcript has 3 exons. NCBI's taxonomy places the organism in Eukaryota, Metazoa, Arthropoda, Insecta, Hymenoptera, Braconidae. The record is from RefSeq and is a predicted model, not a curated record.
UAAAUUCAUUUGUUGACUCUUAGUUCACAACAAACUGAGAUGUCAUCAUUAUUAAUCCUCGUGAUUCAACUUGCUGCAAAUAACCAUCAUUCAUUGUUGUUGUUAAUUAUGUUGCUAUUAUCAGUAUUUUAUUUUUUCAAUUGUCAUGGCGAAUCAAGAUCGAAAAUUAGUUGCUCAAGUGACAGAUGGUCCAACAAUUAAAUCUAAAACUACUGCUCUAAUUUCUGAUGACCAAUAUAUUUUAAAUGACAACGUAAAAACCAACAUAUCAUGUGCAUAAUAAAAGUACUUUUAAUCGAAAGCCACGUAUAAACCACUUGAUCCAAAUGAUCAAUCAAAAACAUGAAGUUGAUAAAACUAAAAAUGCACCUUCAUCGACUAAUGCUCUUAGCUGAAAAAAAAAAAAAAGAAAACCAGGUUUGAAGAAAAAUAAUUCUUGUUGGUCACUAAAAAUUGUAUUAGGAAAUAUUACGUCCAACUAAAGUUAAAAAGUUCUUGCAGCAACUUAUAAUUAUAUUCAAUAAGUUAAUUUAUUGAGAAAAUUACAUGAUGAUGGUACUCAAUCUUGGUUUUACAAACGCAUCUUAAGUCAGAGCUUAGAAAUGUACCGAAUGAUACUCUUGAAAAUUUUUAUGAUUUUUUAGAGUGCUUAGACAAUAUUGGAAUACAACCAUCAAGAGUACAAUUAUGUCUUGUUGUUAUCAAAAAAAAUAUCUUAUCUGAAUAUAUGCUCAGUACUUUUUUUCAUGAUAAGUACUGCAAUUUUUUGCAAAAUAAUUUUAUGUUAAGAAAGAAAAUGAUAAUAUGAAUGCUUGUGGCAUAGACAAGGUCACAAAAGUGCAUUAUAAUUUUUAAAUAAUAUUUACAUACUACCUAUAGUAAUCUAAACAUAGAACAUACUUUAAUGCUUUAAAUUAUAUUGCACUUG